Molecule: ribosomal RNA, 759 nt
Filed under: Salmonella enterica subsp. enterica serovar Typhimurium
Lineage: Bacteria; Pseudomonadati; Pseudomonadota; Gammaproteobacteria; Enterobacterales; Enterobacteriaceae
Description: partial 23S ribosomal RNA
Rfam family: Bacterial large subunit ribosomal RNA
Source: RNAcentral
GUUCUCCCCGAAAGCUAUUUAGGUAGCGCCUCGUGAAUUCAUCUCCGGGGGUAGAGCACUGUUUCGGCUAGGGGGCCAUCCCGGCUUACCAACCCGAUGCAAACUGCGAAUACCGGAGAAUGUUAUCACGGGAGACACACGGCGGGUGCUAACGUCCGUCGUGAAGAGGGAAACAACCCAGACCGCCAGCUAAGGUCCCAAAGUCAUGGUUAAGUGGGAAACGAUGUGGGAAGGCCCAGACAGCCAGGAUGUUGGCUUAGAAGCAGCCAUCAUUUAAAGAAAGCGUAAUAGCUCACUGGUCGAGUCGGCCUGCGCGGAAGAUGUAACGGGGCUAAACCAUGCACCGAAGCUGCGGCAGCGAACGUAUCACUUAAAGCGAUUCAGCGGGUUACGAUUGACGGAGCGAAGCGACGUCAAAGCGUAUACAAAGUCGAGUCGGUUUAAGGAUACGUUCGUUGGGUAGGGGAGCGUUCUGUAAGCCCGUGAAGGUGGCCUGUGAGGGUUGCUGGAGGUAUCAGAAGUGCGAAUGCUGACAUAAGUAACGAUAAAGCGGGUGAAAAGCCCGCUCGCCGGAAGACCAAGGGUUCCUGUCCAACGUUAAUCGGGGCAGGGUGAGUCGACCCCUAAGGCGAGGCCGAAAGGCGUAGUCGAUGGGAAACGGGUUAAUAUUCCCGUACUUGGUGUUACUGCGAAGGGGGGACGGAGAAGGCUAUGUUGGCCGGGCGACGGUUGUCCCGGUUUAAGCGUGUAGGUGUGUGU